AUGUGCAUGGAAAACAAAGAACCUCAUUGCAUACUUACAGAUCAAGACCAAGCAAUGGCAAAUGCUCUUCCGGGAGUGUUUCCAAACACUAUUCAUAGGCUAUGCAGAUGGCAUGUUUUGCAUGGUCACAAAGACAGCUUGAAGGUGUUGUAUAACUUGUAUGAUGGUUUGAAAGAGAAGUUGUUGACAAUAAUAAAUCAUCCCCUCACCCCCAUGGAGUUUGAGAAGGCAUGGAUGGAGAUGGUGAAUGAAUAUGGACUCGAGUCAGAUCCUACAAUUGGCAGUUUGUAUGAUCUGCGUACAAGAUGGAUCGCCGCAUACUUUAAGGAUGUUUAUUGUGGGAAAAUGACAUCUACACAACGCAGUGAGAGCACAAACAGAAUUGCGAAAAGAAACCACAUUGACCCUACGACACCUCUGCACGUGUUUGCAAGAAAAAUGUUUCAGGUUUUGCAAGGGAGAAAAGAAGCAGAAGCCCGAGAGACCAUGGAAUCUCAGGCCCGGCCAAAAACAGUAACAAAUUACCCUCUGGAACAUCAGUUGAGCAGAAUCUAUACCCGUGCAGUAUUCAGGAAAUACAAAGAAGCAUAUGUUUAUGGAACCUCUUUUCUUACAAAGAAAGUUGGCGCUGUGAUGACAAAUGAGCAGAUUCAGAAACUUCCAAGCAAAUAUGUGUAUAGAAGGUACACAAGGAAUGCAAAGAUUGACCCACCAUAUGACAGGAAUGACACUCUCCAGGUUGGAGCCGAUGGGACAUCAAAUAGUGGAAAGCACUUAAAUAUGCUCAGACUGGCUUAUGCCUGUGUUAGAGCGGGGGACAGAUCAACAGUUGGAUAUGAAAGAGUCAUUCAUGUGAUGACAGAACUUAGGGAUCAGGUUGAGGCACUUCCUCCUGAUGUCAUGCCUGUGUUUGAUUAUGGAGGUUGCAGUGAUCCAGCUGGCCGUGAGCUAGAUAAUUUUAAAGCACCACCGAUUGCAAAAACAAAGGGUUGUAGAUCAGAAGAAGGGCGUAGGAUCGGCGCACCCGGGCCAAAGAAGUGCACAAGAAGAUGCAGCAAUUGCGGCCUUAUGGCAGGUCACAAUAGGGCGUCAUGCGAAGAACGAACAGAAAGCUUCGCAGUUGGUGGCAGCAGAGCAGCCCAGGGGAGGGGCAGGGGCAGGGGUAGGGGUAGGGGCAGGGGUAGGGGUAGGGGAAGGGGAACGACAACUCGCCGCCGUUUGAUACAUGAUGAGGUGGACGAAGAUGAAGACUUAGAUUAUCAAGAAGAAGAUGAUCUGCUAGGUGAUGAAUAA
RNAcentral lists this ribosomal RNA (1293 nucleotides) under Triticum aestivum (bread wheat). RNAcentral describes it as "partial small subunit ribosomal RNA". The record is from RNAcentral. Lineage: Eukaryota; Viridiplantae; Streptophyta; Magnoliopsida; Poales; Poaceae.